GGAGGGAUGACAGAGUGGCCGAUUGUGCAUGCUUGGAAAGCAUGUGUACCGCAAGGUACCGGGGGUUCGAAUCCCUCUCUCUCCGCAA
This 88-nucleotide transfer RNA is filed under the name Labilibaculum antarcticum. RNAcentral's name for it is "tRNA-Ser". It matches the Rfam family "tRNA". From Rfam's summary of the family: Transfer RNA (tRNA) molecules are approximately 80 nucleotides in length. Their secondary structure includes four short double-helical elements and three loops (D, anti-codon, and T loops). Further hydrogen bonds mediate the characteristic L-shaped molecular structure. tRNAs have two regions of fundamental functional importance: the anti-codon, which is responsible for specific mRNA codon recognition, and the 3' end, to which the tRNAs corresponding amino acid is attached (by aminoacyl-tRNA synthetases). tRNAs cope with the degeneracy of the genetic code in two manners: having more than one tRNA (with a specific anti-codon) for a particular amino acid; and 'wobble' base-pairing, i.e. permitting non-standard base-pairing at the 3rd anti-codon position. Lineage: Bacteria; Pseudomonadati; Bacteroidota; Bacteroidia; Marinilabiliales; Marinifilaceae. The record is from RNAcentral. RNAcentral also lists the same sequence under 1 other name.